Stomoxys calcitrans (stable fly) is the source of this 12410-nucleotide RNA transcript. It is a transcript of the gene named beta-1,4-glucuronyltransferase 1, with no coding region annotated. The record is from RefSeq and is a predicted model, not a curated record. Lineage: Eukaryota; Metazoa; Arthropoda; Insecta; Diptera; Muscidae. The transcript is spliced from 10 exons.
GCAUUGCGCGCUACCUUAACAAGACUACGAGGCGAACUCACUCACCGCAUAAUAACACAUAGCUGCUUGGCUCAGUUGCUUCGAAACAUCCAAACAAGAAAGUAAGGAAAGUGGUGAUUUACGUUGUUUAUUCCGCUUUCCGCUCCGCCGCCCGCCUGCCCGCGUUUGAAAUAAUAAAACAUCUAAACUAAUAAGAAUAAGAAACAAAAAAAGUGUUAAUAACGUGUUUACUUUACUGUAAGUGCGCUGCCUGGCGUAUGGCUUAUUAAAGCAUGUGUGUUUGUGUACAAAUAAUGUUCUAUGUUCUCAAACCGCUGGCUUAAAGAGUUCUUAGAAGAUUUGUGUUUUUUUUUUGUUCUGAAUAAGAAGAAGAAGAAGUAAACCUUCAAAUUAAUUGAAUGAAUUAAAUUGUGGGCAAUUUUCCUAUUAAAGAGAGUUUUUCUAGUGAAAGCGAAACAUUUGUGUAGAAGAUACAAGGAAAAAAAAACAAAAAAAUACUCCAUCAAAAAAUUUCUAAGAAAGAAUAAUUGCUUGAAAAAAUUACUCCAAGAAAAAAAAUCCCCAAUUAUUGUGAUCCGUUUUGACACAUGGAUUAAAAGAGGAAUAACCAAAAAUUACAAAAACAAAAUCAACACAACAACCUGAAAAAAAACAACAACAAAUAAUCCAUCAUUAUUUUGUUUAUACAUUCAACGAAAACUUCAUUUCCCCCCUCAUCCAUUCCCACCCACACACCUAAACAACGCUUGGGUCAUCAGAGGAGCCGAAAAUAUAAUUUCGCCCAACGCUGACGCUACUGCCGCAUAAUUUUCUUCGUUUUUGAUUCUUCUUUGUUUUGGUUUGCUUACCUUUGUUCCUGCCUAACCAACCAUUCAAACAUCGCAACAUCCCCAGCAACUAUCAGUCAAAAGCAUCAAAGAAACAAUCAAGCAAACCAUCAUCAGCAUCAUCAUCAGCAAUAGCAGCAGCAGCAGCAGCCAGGAACAGUUAGUCAGUCUCCAAAAUAUACACAGCCCCCAGAGUCUCAUCAUUGAACAGCAGCUUUGCGCUUCUUCUUCUUGGCUGUUGCGUUUUUUUGGGUUUAGCCGCAUCGCCAUCAGUCCAGCAGCCGAAAGAAACAGAAAAAACCCUCCUCAAAGUGUGAUUGUCCGCGCUGUUGAUAUCUGAUAACAUAUGAUAUCAAAUGACUUCGAAGCCCUUUGGAUAUCCGUGACUUUGUGUUUUUUUGUUGUUUCCUCAAGUCUUCAUUGUUUUCCUGCAUUUCUUUUUGAACUCAAAGCUUCCUUUUUUUAAACCUCCCAAAGCCUAGACUCCACUGUGGGAGAGAUUAUUGAGGAAAGUCGUAUAUAAAUAACAGCUUCAAAAUUACCUACGCAUCUUUAAAUUCGUCAACCACGGAAAACGCAUUUAAAAUGCGUUUUGAACCAUUGGGCCAGAAAAUGUUCACACGACGAAAUUGGCUACUGCGCUGCAGUAUACUUAUCAAUAUUGCUGUGAUCUUAUAUAUCUGCAGUCAUGUGAUGAUUGGUAAUCGUUAUACGCUAACAUCGGGCUCACAAUUUGUUAUACAAGAACAGCCUACACCAGUGCAACAGCAGCCACAAAUGCAACAGCAGCAACAACAGCCAGAGCAGGGAAUGGUCAGAGAACCCUUGGCCAAAGUGGAACUUGUUGAAGAAAAGCAAGAGCCUGCCAAACCACUUAGUGGUGAUAGUGGAGGUGGCCCUAUAACAGGAGUUGGAGGCGCUGGCGGUGGUAGUGGUGUUGGCUCCAAUGAUUUACAACAGCCUUCGGUUAAGGAUGCAGAUACCCCCGAAAUGGAUCCCAAUUUGGGCGAUCCAGCAAAUAUUAUUGGCAAUACUGGUAGUGCCACUAAUAAUUUUGUAAAUAAUACCAAUGCCGAUGCCAAUUAUCUGGUAACUGGCGAUGAAAAAGAUUUGGAUGAACGUUUGCGUAGCCUGUUGAAAUGCUAUGACAAACCCUUUGAGGCCGAAACUCUACAGCGUGGAGAUUUUUGGGUAUUAAAAAACUAUGUUCGCGCUGAACAUGGUGAACUGAAGUGCCAUGAGUCAAUAACCUAUACCACACAUGCAGAUUAUACAUUUCUCGAUAAUCUGAUACCAUUGUUAGAAAGAUGGAAUGCUCCCGUUAGCAUAGCUAUGCAUGCUCCUGGCACAGACUUCCAACCUACCUUGGAUUCCAUCAAAUAUCUAAGAGACUGUUUGCCCGGUAGUAAUCUGGUGCGUGCAUAUGCCACCUUCCACAUCUACUUUAGUACCAAACAUAUCCCCAAAACGAUACCUAAAUACUCAGAUGCUCUAAAGAAGGGCUACAAUUGUACAUUGCCUCCGCCGUAUGUGAAUGUGACCUCGGGUCAUUUGUAUAAAACACAAAAGAAACUAUUGUAUCCCGUCAAUGUUGGCCGCAAUAUUGCCAGAGAUGCUGCCAUUACACAUUUCAUAUUGGCUUCCGACAUUGAGUUGUAUCCAAAUCCGGGUCUUGUUAAAAAAUUCCUAGAGAUGAUAGCACGCAAUGAGCCGUAUUUAAAUAGGAAAUCUCCACGCGUUUUUCCUUUAUCCAUAUUCGAAGUGGAUGACAGCAGUCCUGUGCCCCAUGAUAAAUCUGAAUUACAAGAGUUCCUGCGCUCCGGCAAAGCCAUACCAUUCCAUAAACGUGUGUGCGCCAGCUGUCAUGGUGUACCAAAAUCCAAAGAAUGGAUGGCCGCCAACGAAACCGACGAAUUAAGUGUCUUCCAUAUUGGAAAGCGAACCGGUUACUUUGUACACUGGGAACCCAUUUACAUAGGUACAAAUGCCGAACCCCAUUAUGAUGAACGCCUCAGUUGGGAGGGCAAAAGUGAUAAAAUGACACAGGGCUAUGCCUUAUGUGUUCUAGAUUAUGAAUUUCAUAUAUUAGACAAUGCCUUUCUGGUACAUAAGCCAGGCAUUAAGGUAUUAAAAAAGGAUACACGUCGUGCCAUGUUGGCUGGCAAAACCAAUCAACUGAUACGCAAAAUCAUCUAUCCCGAAUUGAAAAUUAUGUAUGGCACACGAAAUGGCUGCGCCGUAUAGUGGUUAAUCAAGCAUAAAAGUUGAAAAACUUUUCAUGCUAAUAGUAUUAACCAAUUGUCAUUGUCAUCGCCAACGUCAUCGUGUACAUUAUGGAAUUGUUGUAAAUCCCUUUCUGAAUUGAAAGAGGAAGUUGAAAAAAAAAAAAACUAAAUAAAAGAACACAUGAAAUCAUAAAAUGAAUUACGUUUUUAAGCUGUAAAACCGUGAUAUUUGUACUAGUAAUUAUUUAAUAUUUUUUUGUUUAACUAAAAAAGAAAUUAAAAACAAAAUAAAAAAAAAAACAAUAAUAAAAUAGUAUAUAUAAAAUUAGCUAUUUAAGACACAUAGUAAUGUAAUUAUUUAAGACCAAUACAAAUUUAAAAUGAAAUUAUAAUAAAAAAAAACACACACAUUGCACAUUUUAUAGUUUGUAUUGUAAAUGCCACUGAAAAACAGAGAAAUUUAGUAUUAAAAUUACACACAUACUACUUUGUAAAUAGUUAAAACGAAUAAAAUAGGAAAUAUAUACACACAUAUACACACAAACACCUACACACACACGUCUAUAUAAUAUUUGAGAAUUUCGAAUGGAUCAACAUUUAAUUGUGUUGAAAGUAUAUCAUUAUUUUUUACCAUUUGUAUUCCCUCAAUACAACAAUAAAAAGAGGCGAAAGAAAAUUCUAAAAUUAAACACAGAAUACACAUAAACACUCCACACACACUAAAUAUUCCAUCUUUAUAAGACUUUGAUGAAAUAUAAAAUCUAAGCUCUUUCCAUUAUUGAAAAUUCAGCUUCUUUCCAAAAAAAAAAAUUCAGCUUUGGGAUGUGAUUAUUCUCGUGUGUAGUGUGAGUAUCUCUUGAGACGCCUCAAGAUAUACUCCUGAAUUCUUCCUGAGUCGUAGGAUAAUUGCGAGUCUUAGGUUUAUAUUGAUUGGCUAGCUCGUUUCAAAAGGUGAGUUCAACUUAUUCUUACUUUACUUUAAUUGACUAUGACAGAACAUUUGUCCCAUUAGCCAUUCCAAGCGCCUCGAGUUUCUGCGCACCUUCUCCAGAUGUCUUUCACCACUUGAUCUUUCCAUUGGGCUUUUUAUACCCUCCAACAUAGGUUGGGGGUAUACUAAUUUCGUCAUUCUGUUUGUAAUACCUAGUAAUAUGCGUCUGAGACCCCAUUAAGUAUAUAUAUAUUCUAGAUCGUCAUGUCAUUUUUAAUCGAUCUAACCAUGUCCGUCCGUCUAUCCAUCCCUCUGUCUGUCGAAAGCACGCUAACUUUCGAUGGUAUAAAGCUAACCGCUUGAAAUUUUGCACAAAUACUUUUUAUUUGUGUAGGUCGGUUGGAAUUGUAAAUGGGCCAUAUCGGUCCAUGUUUUGAUAUAGGUGCCAUAUAAACCGAUCUUGGGUCUUGACUUCUUGAGCCACUAGAGGGCGCAAUUCUCAUCCGAUUUGAUUGAAAUUUUGCACGUGUUGUUUUGGGCGCACUUCCAACAUCAGCACUAAGUGUGGUUCAAAUCGGUCCAUGUUUUGAUAUAGCUGCAAUAUAAACCGAUCUGGGAUCUUGUCUUCCUGAGCCUUUAGAGGGCGCAAUUCUCAUCCGAUUUGGCUGAAAUUUUGCAUGAGGUGUUUUGUUAUGACUUCCAAUAACUGUGCUAAGUAUGGCGCAAAUCGGUAGGUAACUUGAUAUAGCUGCAAUAUAAACUGAUCUUGGGUCUUGACUUCUUGAGCCACUAGAGGGCACAAUACUUAACCGAUUUGGCUGUAAUUUUUCAUGAGGUGUUUUAUUAUGACUCCCAACAACUGUGCUGAGUAUGAUUGAAAUCGAUCCAUAACCUGAUAUAGCUGCAAUAUAAACCGAUCUGGGAUUUUGACUUCUUGAGCCUCUAGAGGGCGCAAUUCUCAUCCGAUUUGGAAGAAAUUUUGUACAACGGCUUCCCUCAUGAUCUUCAACAUACGUGUCUAAUAUGGUCUGCAUCGAUCAAUAGCUUGAUACAGUUCCCAUAUAAACCUAUUUUGCUUCUUGAGCCCCUACAAGGCGCAAUUCUUUUCCGAAUGAACUGAAAUAUUACACGAUGGCUUCUACAAUAUUAAGCAUUCAUAUAUGUUCCGAAUUGGACUAUAACUUGAUAUAGCUCCAAUAGCAUAACAGUUCUUAUUCAAUAUUCUUUGUUUGCCUAAAAGAGAUACCGCGCAUAGAACUCGACAAAUGCGAACCAUGGAGGAGGGUGUAUAAGAUUCGGCUCAGCCGAACUUAGCACGCUUUUAGUUGUUGUUUUUGUUGUUGUAGCCACAUUUUCAUGUGCAGCUGAUGAUCCUCAUGAAGCUCCUAUAGGUGAGCAAGUUUGUUCCGGUCCAAAGGACCGAUCCCCGCAGGAACAGGGUUGGCCAUUGGUUAUUUGAAGGCGCCAAUAACUCGCCUUUUCAUAUCGAGCAUCGUAGGCACUCAGUAUUUGUGCAAGAGCCGGUGCCACCCGACCUCUCACUGAGACUCUUCGCAAGUGGUCAUAGUUAUCCCCUGCCGGGAAAUGGGUUUGAAUCUGCGAUAACGCUUUUCGAGGUGAACUAAAAAAUGAAACGGAAAAAAAUUCCAGAUAUGAGGCUCGGUUUCUUAUUCUUUGUAGUAUGACACCUAAUACCCCUUUAUAGCUCGAUUUUUGGCAUUGUCUAUUAGUUUUGGGUUAAAUGAAAUCAAAUAAGAUUCAAGUAGGAUUCUCGAGAAAAAUCUAAAAGACAUUUGUCUCAGCCUCACUCAGUAUUAGUGCAAGAGCCGGUGCCACCCGACCUCUCACUGAGACUUUCCGCUAGUGGUCAUAGUUAUCCCCCUGCCGGGAAAUGGGUUUGAAUCUGCGAUAACGCUUUUCGAGGUGAACUAAAAAAUGAAACGGAAAAAAAUUCCAGAUAUGAGGCUCGGUUUCUUAUUCUUUGUAGUAUGGCACCUAAUACCCCUUUAUAGCUCGAUUUUUGGCAUUGUCUAUUAGUUUUGGGUUAAAUGAAAUCAAAUAAGAUUCAAGUAGGAUUCUCGAGAAAAAUCUAAAAGACAUUUGUCUCAGCCUCACUCAGUAUUAGUGCAAGAGCCGGUGCCACCCGACCUCUCACUGAGACUUUCCGCUAGUGGUCAUAGUUAUCCCCCUGCCGGGAAAUGGGUUUGAAUCUGCGAUAACGCUUUUCGAGGUGAACUAAAAAUUGAAACGGGAAAAAAUUCCAAAUAUGAGACAUCUGCCCUCUGUUUCUUAUUCUUUCUAGCAUGUGACACCUCACACGCCUUUAUAGCUCGAUUUUUGACAUUGUCCAUGAGUUUUGGGGUAAAUGAAAUCAAAUAAGAUUCAAAUAGGAUUCUCGAGUAAAAAUCUAAAAGACAUUUGCCUUUUAGUUUUUAUCCUCUAAUACUCAAAGUCUAUUCAAAUAAUUUUGAAGUAUAAAUUUCCUAGCAACAGUGGUGUAAAUCUCCUUCUUCCUCUAAAAAAAUUUGAUCACAAAAUUUGCUAAACCAGAAGUAACACUGAACGCUUUCAUAGUUGAAAUCAAAAAUAAUGGAAAGAACUACAAUGAUCAUUAGUUAUAAGGCACCUUGCUAAAAGUCUUUCCUUCCCCCCUUUGACCAUUCUCUAGACUGUAGAAAUUACGCGCAAAUAGUUAUUCCAUUUUAUUUUUAAAAUUUACUAAAAUCUCUCAAAAUUUAAUAAAAAAAAAUAAAAUUUUUUAUAAAAAAAAUCAUUUUUAUUUGAAAUACACUCUUUUAAAAGAUUUUUUUUUUGGCAAAAAAAGAAUACAAAAACCCAAAACAAACAAAAUUAAACGAGAUUAAAAUAAUUAUUAAAAAAAAUAUAUUAACUUGAUUUAAAGUGCCUUAGAAAAAAAUUAAAUUUAAAAAAAUGAGAAAACAAAUAAAAAAAUGUGGGAAAUAUUUGAAAGAAGCGAAACAAAAUACGAUAACAACACAAGGUAAAUAAAUCUAAGACAAAUGCUGAUAACUAAAAGGAAAUGCUAAACUAAAAAAAUAGAGACUUAUAGAAAAAAAACACAAAAUUAAAAAAAAAAUAAUAAUAAUGAAAAAACAAAAAUUAUUUUUGAGAAAACCUGCUAUCGUUUUUGUUUUUUAGUAAAUAGUCAAUAAAUCUGUAAAGAAACUUAAUUUUCUUUAAAAAAACAAAUUUAGAAAAACAAUUCAAAAUAUACUACAAAACUUCAUGUAGAAUUUGUUAUUUUUACUUAUUUGAAACUAAAAUUUAUUUCAAUUCUUAUAUGUGUAGCCCCUAAUUUGCCUUAAUUUGUUAAGUGGAAAAGUUAAAAUGAACGGAGAACUCCAAAGUUGUAUUCUUAAACUGAAAGGAACUUUAAUUUUGUUAACAAAUCUGGCUGACAAGAAAUGUGCAAAUCGAAUUCGAGCCACUGUAGCCUAUGACCGCCUUUAACGCUGAAGGCCUACCUUCAAAUUCUGGCAAUAAUAUCGGACAAAAUUUAAAGCGGUGAUGAUCCCCUCUUAAUGCUGGCGACAUUUGCCAUGCAUGGUCAUCUAAAAAAUUCUCCCCACAGAGAUCUCGCCCUGUGGCACCACAUUCGGAGUCGGCUAUAAAAAAAAGUCCCUUAUCAUUGAGUUUAAACUGGAAUCGAAAAGCUUUCAUUGAUGUGUGAGAAGUGUGCCCCUUCUCGGCCCCUGGGUAAAUUUUUACUCUCCCACUCCCAAAUACCUUUCUUUUGGGUCCUAUAUUAUUAGUAUGACUAGUAUUAGUAAAUAUUUCCGGUUUAGAGAGACACUUGGUCCUUAAUGUAAAUAAGCGCUUCGUGCUCUACUUUCAAAUACAUUUUAUAUGGGCCCUAUAAUGGCAUGAUCGGUAAAUGAAUUCUGUUUGAGGAUGGGACGGACCCCAGGGACUUUGUCCCGAAAAUGAGUAUAAAUUUCCCGAAAAUCAAUCAAUUUAAACAUCAAAUAACUUUUAUAUAAUGGGAGGUGUUUGCGGGUUGGGCAGUUCCCCAAACACAUGGCUCCUCAAUUGGAUAUCAAAUUCGUUUUUUUCUCUCAUGCAACUUUGAGCUCUAUAUUGUCGUGAUUGGUCUAUAUACCCAUUUGACGGGAUAUUGGACCGCCCCCGAGGCACCCAAACCCCAACAAUAGAAACCAUGUUUUAUUUUGACGUUAGAGUGCAUAAAAAAUUCGAACGAAUCGCAUUACCAAUCCCAAACAUUUGGCUCCAAAAUUUUUUUCUACUUUUUUCUACUCUCCAAUACCUUUCAUUUGAGUCCCAUAUUGUCCCGAUCAACCUAUUUGACUUAUUUUUGGAAAGAAAAGCGCCACCUAGACUUGAACUCAUAUUUUAAUGUCAUAUUCGUAAUCUACUCCCAAAUACCUUUUAUUUGAGUCCCAUAUAGACAUGGCCGGCUAAUAUGCCCAUUUGAGGGUACUUGGGGGUGGGGCCACCUGUUAUUACUUGGAUCUAAUUUUUGCCAUUUUUGUAAUCUACUGUCGAAUACUUUUCAUUUGGGGCCCAUAUUGAAAUGAAAUUCUAAUAUAUCUAUUUAGAGGAGUUUUUUGAUUGGGGAGGCCCGCUGGGUACUUGGACCUAAAAUUGUAAUACGAUAUUCGCUUUCUAGUCUCCAAUACUUUUCAUUUGAUACCUAUUUUGUCCCAAUCCGUCCACUUUUGGUUUUGGAUGGCGUUGUUGGGGUAAGGGGGAGAGAGGCUCCAUCCGAUAUCUAAAAAUUAUAUAGCCUAUGUUUCCUUCCAGACAAACUUACACUAUCUGUAAAAAUUUGAGGAAAAUCUGUUCAGCCGUUUUUGAUUCUACGGAAGAAACAAACCAAAAUCGAGUCCCAUAUAGUCAUGAUGGGUCAUAUUCCCAUUUAAAGCGUUUUUGGAGGGAAGGGGAAGCUCCCAAUUAUACUUUGAUCUGAUUUUGUAUGCCAGAUUCGUAAUCUACUCCCGAAUACUUUUCAUUUGAGGCCCAUAUUGUCAUGAACGCCCAAUAUAUCUGUUUGGGGGGAAUUUUAAGGUUGGUUAAGGUUAAGGUUCCAUAUUCGUAUUCUAUUCUCCAAUACUUUUCAUUUGAUACCGAUAAUGUCCCGAUCGGUCCAAUUUUGAUUUUGGAUUUUGAUUUUCCGAAAUCAACAAACUACAAAGCCUAUUGCUCCUUCCUGACCAUAUUCGCAAUCUACUCCCGAAUUACCUUUCAUUUGAUUCCCAUAUUGUCAUGAUCGUCCAAUGGCAAUUGAACCCCAGUUGCCAUUGAUUUUUGGGGGAGUUUAGGGGGUGAGACGACUCCGAAACACAUGGGCUUAAAAUUGGAUAUCAAAUUCGUUUUCUUCAUCAAGUGUCACAGUAGGCAUACAUGGAGUAGGAGUUUAGGGGGUGGACCCUGAAGUAAUAUCAGAGUCGUGCUGGAGUACGAUUUUGUUUGAGUAGACCCCCCCCCCACAUUAUGUAAUGCAUUUUGAAGUUUGCGAUUAAGAUUCAGAUCCACACUAUUUAAUUUUUUUUUGCAUUGGUUAUCUACAUUCAAAAUCAUAUAUCGAAGCUACCACUUGAGAUACCAGAUUUUUAAAGAUCCCCAGGUCCUCCCGUGUCCAUCCCAAUUUGAGGGUAAACAUUGUAUUCUACUACCAAAUACCUUUUAUUUCUGUCCUAUUCCAUCCUGUUCGGCCUUCAUAUAUUGUUAUACCCUCCACUAUGGGAUGGGAAUAUACUAAUUUCAUCAUUCUGUUUGUAACACCUCGAAAUAUACGUCUAAGACCCCAUAAAGUUUAUAUAUUCUCGAUCGAUGUGACAUUUUAAGUCGAACUAGCCACGUCCGUCCGUCUUUCCAUCCGUCCGUCUGUCUGUCGAAAGCACAUUUACUUUUGAAGGAGUAAAGCUAGCCAUCUUUAAUCUUGCACAAUUAUUUCUUAUUAGUGUAGGUCGGUUGGGUUUGUAAAUGGGCCAAAUCGGUUCAUGUUUUGAUAUAGCUGCCACAUAAACAGAUCCUGGGUCCUGACUUGACUUGAGCCUCUAGAGGGCGCAAUUCUCGUCCGUUUUGACUGAAAUUUCGCUAGUAGUGUUUUGAUGUCACUUUCAAUAGCAGAGCUAAGAAUGGUUCAAAUCGGUUCAUAACCCGAUGUAGCUGCCAUAUAAACCGAUUUUGGGUCUUGACUUCUUCAGCCUCUAGAGGGCGCAAUUCUUGUCCGAUUUGGUGUUUUGGUAUCACUUUCAACAACUGCAAUAAGUAUGGUUUAAAACGGUCCAUGUUUUGAUGUAGCUGUCAUAUAAACCGAUCUUGGGUUUUGACUUCUUGAGCCUCUAGAGGGCGCAAUUUUUGUCCGAUUUGACUGAAAUUUAGCACGUAGUGUUUUGGUAACUUUUCCCAUCACUGUGUUAAAUAUGAUUCAAAUCGGUUCAUAAAGUGGUAUAGCUGUCAUAUAAAGCGAUCUUGGAUCUUGACUUCUUUAGCCCAUAAAGCGCGCAAUUCUCAUACGAUUUGGAAGAAAUUUUGUACAACGGCUUCUCUCAUGACCAACCCGUAAUUUAAGUUGGUAGUGUGUUCGGCUAGUCUGUGCGAUGGUCAUGUAUUGAAUAAUUUGGUUAAAAGUUAGGCUGUUGCCCAAAAUGCGACUAUUUGUUUAAACGAAAUCAAAGUUGAAUAUGAUAUGAUAUAGACGGCAAUGUCCGGCCACAUUGAUUUACAACUCUUUUGGAAUAGAUCCAUUCUAACGAAAUAUCGUAUUUAAUUUUUAUAAGGCGCAUUUAAGAAAUCGAAUUUAUGUUCUAUGUUUUCUUUGUCAUACACAAUAUUUUUGUUUUUAGCGCCAUUUUCUCUGUAUACAUCUGAGCAAUUGAAAAAUCUCUGUUAAUGUAGUAAAAAGUGGGUUAUCGAAUAUUGUCGUAUUUUAUCAACAGUUAUUCAAAGCCAAAAAAUAUGCACAGCCUACAAAACAACAAUUGCGAUGUUAUCUCUGUACUGAAGAGUGCAAAUAGUGAUUAGUAAUUAAUUAUUAUUAGUUAUCGCAUGAUAUCGAUAACUAUUCAGUACAACUUUGGAUUGAAAAUUUAUUUAGUAUAUCUGGCGAUGCCCGGCUACAUUGAUUUACAACUCUUUUGGAAUAGAUCCAUUCUAACGAAAUAUCCUAUUUAAUUUUUAUAAGGCGCAUUUAAGAAAUCGAAUUUAUUUUCUGUAUUUUCUUUGUCAUACACAAUAUUUUUGUUUUUAGCGCCAUUUUCUCUUUAUACAUCUGUUUAUGGAGUAAAAAGUGGGUUAUCGAAUAUUGUCGUAUUUUAUCAACAGUUAUUCAGAGCCAAAAAAUAUGCACAGCCUACAAAACAACAAUUGCGGUGUUAUCUCUGUACUGUAUAGUGCAAAUAGUGAUUAGUAAUUAAUUAUUAUUAGUUAUCGCAUGAUAUCGAUAACUAUUCAGUACAACUUUGGAUUGAAAAUUUAUUUAGUAUAUCUGGCUUGCACUGAAUGGGACUAAAAUAAAAACGAUUGCACACACUUUGCACUGUAUAGUAUUUAAAUAAUAAACAGACCCUUUAUUUUAUAAAAUAUUUUCAAUUAUGUUAAAACUAUUAAAAUCCUCUUUAGUUUUUGUUUUGUUUUUUUUUUUUUUUUGAAGUACAUUACAAUUCAAUUCAUUUGUAAUUGAGAAGUCCCAUUACAAUGGAGUGAUAGAUUUUUUCUUUGAUUUUUCAAUACAAACCCUAAAGUCAUAUUCUAUUUUCUUAGUAAAUAUUGUAUAAUUUAAGAAAGUGUUCAUAUAUUCACAAAUUCAUAGGCUAUUAUGUAUUUAUUUCAGAUUAUCAAUAACAAUUCCCUUAAAAUAAAUACUUAAAAGUCAUUAUUUAGUUAAAGUAUGUUUUUUUUUUGCAAUGAAAGAACACUAGAUAGAUAUUUUUUAAUUUUAAUAGAUUUUUUUUUCAUUUAUUCUAUUUUUAUAAUUAAACAUAAGCCCGUUUUCUUUCUCUAAAACUUAAACACAGAAAGUUAAAAACAAACUUCUAUUCCUAUUAAUUUAAAACACAAAUACUGACUCUUAAAACAACAACAAAAAAAAUAAAUACUAAUUGUAAUGCAGCAAAUAAAUUAAAAAUAUAUAUUGUAUAAUAAAAAAGGAUAGUAAAUAAAUAAAAAAAAAAAUAUUUUUCUUUAAUUUUGAUAGAGGAAAGCAACAAAUUGAAUACCUUAACAAAUAAACAUCCGCAAAAUAAUUCAAACUGAAAAACAAGCAACACAUAAAAAACACUGUAUAUAUAAAUUGUAAAACAGAUUUAAAGACGAAAUUAAACCGAUCUUUGAGAUUUUAAACAAAAAAAACCUAGAAUACAGCGAAUACAACUGAAAAAAAGAAAAAAUAAGGGAAUUUCUGAGAAACGAAUAAAUAAAAGCAUAUUGUGAACAAUAAAUGAA